Molecule: ribosomal RNA, 468 nt
Filed under: uncultured bacterium
Lineage: Bacteria
Description: partial 16S ribosomal RNA
Rfam family: Bacterial small subunit ribosomal RNA
Source: RNAcentral
GACGAACGCUGGCGGCGUGCUUAACACAUGCAAGUCGAACGGAAAGGCCCUGCUUUUGUGGGGUGCUCGAGUGGCGAACGGGUGAGUAACAAGUGAGUAACCUGCCCUUGACCUUGGGAUAACUUCAGGAAACUGGGGCUAAUACCGGAUAGGAGCUCCUGCUGCAUUGUGGGGGUUGGAAAGUUUCGGCGGUUGGGGAUGGACUCGCGGCUUAUCAGCUUGUUGGUGGGGUAGUGGCUUACCAAGGCUUUGACGGGUAGCCGGCCUGAGAGGGUGACCGGCCACAUUAGGACUGAGAUACGGACCAGACUCCUACGGGAGGCAGCAGUGGGGAAUAUUGCACAAUGGGCGGAAGCCUGAUGCAGCAACGCCGCGUGCGGGAUGACGGCCUUCGGGUUGUAAACCGCUGUCGCCUGUGACGAAGCGUGAGUGACGGUAAUGGGUAAAGAAGCACCGGCUAACUACGUG